This 526-nucleotide long non-coding RNA is filed under the name Triticum aestivum (bread wheat). RNAcentral's name for it is "long non-coding RNA (TAES_LNC024635)". The record is from RNAcentral. Lineage: Eukaryota; Viridiplantae; Streptophyta; Magnoliopsida; Poales; Poaceae.
CUUGAGGUACAGAGUGUUCAUUGGGCGUCUGUGAUCUCGCCCCAUUGGUGGAGGUUCAGAGGUCGACGUUGACCUAUAUAAUUUUGGUGUAGUUGUAGUAGGAUCGAUCGCCCUGAUGUAAAUUAAUUAUUGCACAGCUCUCAUCAAUGGCAUGGCAGGAGAAUGCCGCAAGGCCUUCUUAGUUGUACUAUGUUGUUCUUGACCAAUGAACUUAGCGCCGAUGCCCUACUUGCACAAUGUUUAAGCAUGGCAAAUGAACCGAAGACUUCAUAACUAUCACUGUACUAGUUGUUAUACUACUAGAUGAUGUGUUGUGCUGGGUGAAUGUAAUUAGAUGAGGACUGGUUGUUAAGCCUUCUUCUGUAGACGGUCCUCACCGGAGAACUUUCAGAAUGACGGAUUAUGUUGUAUGUGUGCUAUCCACCCACAGGUGAACUUGAAUCAGGAGAAUCAGAGACUAGCAGAUGAAAACCAACCUACAAAUAGGCCCCUCUUUAGUCCGACAACUAAAUCAACAAAAAAAAAA